RNAcentral lists this long non-coding RNA (480 nucleotides) under Cervus hanglu yarkandensis (Yarkand deer). RNAcentral's name for it is "lncRNA (ENSCHYG00000014645.1)". Lineage: Eukaryota; Metazoa; Chordata; Mammalia; Artiodactyla; Cervidae. The record is from RNAcentral.
GGUCUCCGCCCUAGCCAAUCGGCACCUUCCACUCUCCCGGUGGGACCAAUCAGCGGCUGCCGGGAACCCGGGCUGUCGCCAUGGCAGCAAGGAGGCGGGAGCGCGCCGUGGGUAGAAGUACAGAGCAGAGCCGGCGGCUGGGGGCUUUAGAGGCCAGCCUGUUCCCUGCAAGCGUUCAGCAGGCGGAGCCUUGCGCUUGGAGACCCGGCUUCGCAAAACUGGCGGCCUCGAGAACCUGUGAAGAGUCAGUUCUUACUGAAAAAGCAUUGAGACAGGAGCCAGACCCACCUCUUCACUAAUUUGAUAUUGUGCAAGUCACCUUACCUCUCUGGAUCUCAGUUGCCUCAUCUGUAAAAAGGAGAUAGAAAUUCUUAACCUGUUUGAAGGUAAGUGAUCAGUUAAGAGGGCUUCCCAGGUGGCUCAGUGGUAAAGAACCCUCCUGCCAAGUCAGAAGAUGUAAGAGACAUGGGUUUGAUCUCU